Molecule: small nucleolar RNA, 107 nt
Filed under: Gossypium hirsutum (cotton)
Lineage: Eukaryota; Viridiplantae; Streptophyta; Magnoliopsida; Malvales; Malvaceae
Description: Plant small nucleolar RNA R71
Rfam family: Plant small nucleolar RNA R71
About the family: R71 is a member of the C/D box family of snoRNAs containing the C (UGAUGA) and D (CUGA) box motifs. Multiple nearly identical copies of this snoRNA have been identified in Arabidopsis, and it is thought to function as a 2'-O-ribose methylation guide for 18S ribosomal RNA.
Source: Rfam by way of RNAcentral
AAUCCAUGUAUAAGCCAUUUCCUAAGAAAAUUUUUGAACCUUUCCCAUGCUUCAUAUAGUGUUUCAUCCUCUAGUUACUUGAAUGAUGUUAUGUCAUUUCUCAGUUU